Molecule: transfer RNA, 34 nt
Filed under: Zygophyllum kaschgaricum
Lineage: Eukaryota; Viridiplantae; Streptophyta; Magnoliopsida; Zygophyllales; Zygophyllaceae
Description: partial tRNA-Leu
Source: RNAcentral
GACUUAAAAUCCGUCGAUUUUAGAAAUCGUGAGG